RNAcentral lists this ribosomal RNA (340 nucleotides) under Lottia mesoleuca. Its description in RNAcentral is "partial 12S ribosomal RNA". The record is from RNAcentral. Lineage: Eukaryota; Metazoa; Mollusca; Gastropoda; Lottiidae.
ACACUAAUCCCCCCAGGGGAACCUGGCCCUUAAUUCGAUAGUCCACGAACCUCUUACCUUCCCUAGUUCUUUUGACAGCUAGCACUGUGCUAUGCGCCAAAAUAGACUCCAGCUCGCAUACCGCCGUUUCGCAGCUUGUAUCGUGAGAGAACAGAAACAGGCAAACAAGCUCCUUCUAAGGUUCGCUUCCAAUUCAGGUAAACGUGCGGCCAAUGGGAAGGGGGGAGCUGGGUUACAAUUGAAGAUUGUAAUGGAGUUACUGCCCUAAGGGUAGAACAAAAGAGGACUUGGAAGUAACCCCCUUGGACAAUGAGGGAGUGAAUAGUGCUCUAGUGUGUGU